GUAGGUGGCAAGCGUUGUCCGGAAUUAUUGGGCGUAAAGCGCGCGCAGGCGGUCCUUUAAGUCUGAUGUGAAAGCCCACGGCUCAACCGUGGAGGGUCAUUGGAAACUGGGGGACUUGAGUACAGAAGAGGAAAGCGGAAUCCCAAGUGUAGCGGUGAAAUGCGUAGAGAUUUGGAGGAACACCAGUGGCGAAGGCGGCUUUCUGGUCUGUAACUGACGCUGAGGCGCGAAAGCGUGGGGAGCAAACAGGGAUUAGAUACCCUGGUAGUCCACGCCGUAAACGAUGAGUGCUAAGUGUUAGGGGGUUUCCCGCCCCUUAGUGCUGCAGCUAACGCAUUAAGCACUCCGCCUGGGGAGUACGGCCGCAAGGCUG
RNAcentral lists this ribosomal RNA (373 nucleotides) under uncultured organism. RNAcentral describes it as "partial 16S ribosomal RNA". It matches the Rfam family "Bacterial small subunit ribosomal RNA", at positions 527 to 896 of the family's 1533-position model. The record is from RNAcentral.